RNAcentral lists this ribosomal RNA (482 nucleotides) under uncultured bacterium. RNAcentral describes it as "bacterial SSU rRNA". It matches the Rfam family "Bacterial small subunit ribosomal RNA", at positions 501 to 982 of the family's 1533-position model. The record is from RNAcentral.
CUACGUGCCAGCAGCCGCGGUAAUACGUAGGUGGCAAGCGUUGUCCGGAAUUAUUGGGCGUAAAGCGCGCGCAGGCGGAUCGGUCAGUCUGUCUUAAAAGUUCGGGGCUUAACCCCGUGAUGGGAUGGAAACUGCCAAUCUAGAGUAUCGGAGAGGAAAGUGGAAUUCCUAGUGUAGCGGUGAAAUGCGUAGAUAUUAGGAAGAACACCAGUGGCGAAGGCGACUUUCUGGACGAAAACUGACGCUGAGGCGCGAAAGCCAGGGGAGCGAACGGGAUUAGAUACCCCGGUAGUCCUGGCCGUAAACGAUGGGUACUAGGUGUAGGAGGUAUCGACCCCUUCUGUGCCGGAGUUAACGCAAUAAGUACCCCGCCUGGGGAGUACGACCGCAAGGUUGAAACUCAAAGGAAUUGACGGGGGCCCGCACAAGCGGUGGAGUAUGUGGUUUAAUUCGACGCAACGCGAAGAACCUUACCAGGUCUU